GACGAACGCUGGCGGCGUGCUUAACACAUGCAAGUCGAGCGGUAAGGCCCUUUCGGGGGUACACGAGCGGCGAACGGGUGAGUAACACGUGGGUAACCUGCCCCGAUUACCGGGACAACCCGAGGAAACUCGGGCUAAUACCGGAUGUGCUCGUCAGACCCAAGUCUGACGCGUAAAGGAAGCUUCGGCCUCCGAUUCGGGAGGGGCCCGCGGCCCAUUAGUUAGUUGGUGAGGUAACGGCUCACCAAGACCGCGAGGGUAGCUGGUCUGAGAGGACGAUCAGCCACACUGGGACUGAGACACGGCCCAGACUCCUACGGGAGGCAGCAGUGGGGAAUCUUGCGCAAUGCGCGAAAGCGUGACGCAGCAACGCCGCGUGAGGGAAGACGGCCU
RNAcentral lists this ribosomal RNA (393 nucleotides) under uncultured bacterium. RNAcentral describes it as "bacterial SSU rRNA". It matches the Rfam family "Bacterial small subunit ribosomal RNA", at positions 28 to 417 of the family's 1533-position model. The record is from RNAcentral.